GCUCCUCAAUGUCAUCCUCAUCCACACCCAGGUUAAGUUGUUUGCCAUCUCAACCACAGCCUUGUUGAUUUUUGCAACCUCCUCAUCCUCGGCAAAUCCUUUGAAGUCAUGGAUGAACCUCUUGAGUAUCUUCUUCCAGAUGCUAUUCAUACAUUCCUUGGUGACAUCACCCUAAGCCCAAGUGAGGUUCCUGAUGCAGUCAUAGAUGUUAUAAUCUUUCCAGAAUUGCAGCAGUGUCUUCUCAGUUGCAGCAACAGCCUGGGCAAAGAUCCUUCUCAGGUAGUAGGCCUUAAAAGCUGCUAUAACUCCUUGAUCCAUUGGUUGGAGUUGGUGUCUGGAGGGAGAAACACUGCUUUGAUAUUGGGAUGAAGACCACCAAAAAAAGGAGGAGGUCCAGGAGCAUUAUGAACACUAAGCAAAAUUUUGAAAGAUAAGGAAACUGAAGCUAAAAUCAUGACAUGCAGACUAUCCACACCUCGCUCAAGCUCUAAUAAAACAAGAAUUAGGAAGAUUGUACACGCUCUACUACUUCUCUGAAUGAAUGUUUUUCUCCAAUCAACUCUGUAUCUGAACUGCAUGGUGUUACAACAAACCAAAAAAUAAAGACAAUUUCUGAUACUGGUAAGUGCUAUGAAAGAAACCAAACAGUGCCAUGGGAUAGAGAGGGACUGAGGCUGGGUGAGGACCACUUUAGUUAGGACAGCCAGAAAGGACCUUUCUGAGGAGACAGAAAUAGAAUCAAAGCAAGAAUGAUAAAAAGGAGGCAGCAAAGCAAAGAAAGAACAUUCAAGCACAGGAACAGCAAGAGUGGCCAGGUGGAUGAAAGGAAGAGUUUGAAAUAUUUGUGGGACAGUGAGAAAUCCAGACCACAGUGAUUGAGGGGAGGAGCAUUAGGGGUGACUUCAGAGAAGUGAUCAGGGGACCUGUAAGGAGAUUCCAUUUUGUUCUAACCACAAUAAGAUGCCACAGGAGAAGUUCAAACAAAAGAUUAAUAUAAACUGAUAAGCAUAUUUAAAAGUUUAACUCGUGGGUGUGGAGGAGAAUGGCACACACGGACAUGAUGGAGGCAGGGAAAGCACUCAGGAGUGAUCCAGGUGAGAAGGGAAGGGCGGAGGGGCACAGAUGUUAGUUUACAGGACUUGUGGGUGAAUCGUGACUGGAUAGGAGAGGAAGGAAAAAGAAGAAUAGAUGAUUCCGG
RNAcentral lists this long non-coding RNA (1198 nucleotides) under Equus asinus (donkey). Its description in RNAcentral is "lncRNA (ENSEASG00005037965.1)". The record is from RNAcentral. Lineage: Eukaryota; Metazoa; Chordata; Mammalia; Perissodactyla; Equidae.